This 591-nucleotide ribosomal RNA is filed under the name uncultured Gammaproteobacteria bacterium. RNAcentral's name for it is "bacterial SSU rRNA". It matches the Rfam family "Bacterial small subunit ribosomal RNA", at positions 8 to 596 of the family's 1533-position model. Lineage: Bacteria; Pseudomonadati; Pseudomonadota; Gammaproteobacteria. The record is from RNAcentral.
AGAGUUUGAUCAUGGCUCAGAUUGAACGCUGGCGGCAGGCCUAACACAUGCAAGUCGAACGGUAACAGGAUGUGCUUGCACAUCGCUGACGAGUGGCGGACGGGUGAGUAAUGCUUGGGAACUUGCCUUUGCGAGGGGGAUAACAGUUGGAAACGACUGCUAAUACCGCAUAAUGUCUACGGACCAAACGGGGCUUCGGCUCCGGCGCAGAGAGAGGCCCAAGUGAGAUUAGCUAGUUGGUAAGGUAAAGGCUUACCAAGGCGACGAUCUCUAGCUGUUCUGAGAGGAAGAUCAGCCACACUGGGACUGAGACACGGCCCAGACUCCUACGGGAGGCAGCAGUGGGGAAUAUUGCACAAUGGGGGGAACCCUGAUGCAGCCAUGCCGCGUGUGUGAAGAAGGCCUUCGGGUUGUAAAGCACUUUCAGUUGUGAGGAAAAGUUAGUAGUUAAUACCUGCUAGCCGUGACGUUAACAACAGAAGAAGCACCGGCUAACUCCGUGCCAGCAGCCGCGGUAAUACGGAGGGUGCGAGCGUUAAUCGGAAUUACUGGGCGUAAAGCGCACGCAGGCGGUUUGUUAAGCUAGAUGUG